UUUGUGAGACGUUUUAACGAAUGCAAACAAACAGCCCUACGGAAUUGGCGGGGAUUUUUUUAACGCCCGUCAAUCAAGACAACUGCGAAAAUGCGGUUAAAGACUGGACUCAUGCGUAGAUCAUAAUCACGUCUUUGUAGACAUGCAAACAAAUGCUCAAUCGCUUAAAACUUCAUAAAACGAUAAUGAGUUUAGCAUGUUUGUAGCUUAAUCUGACAUAACGCAGGCAGAUCGUUGAAUCACGUAUACAUCAUAGACUUUUCCCACUUUGCAUACAUGCAAGAGACAACCGUAUAUCUGGUUCAGGAUCGUUUGCAGUGAAAGAGAGAAAAAGCCCUUAUGAUCACUUCCAUAGAUACUGGCCACAUCUUCGACAUCAUUGAGAACCAACGUUACAGACACGUGCUGGGCCUUUUCGCGCUUGAGGGCACCGAAAGAGAAUCUGAAGACGUAUGUUCCAGAUUUUGGAACAGUGAAGACGCCCUUCUUCGCGUCCAUUCCACCACCUUGGUUUGAUCUUGUAAUCUCGAAAGAAACAGUUUAGUGAAACACUUGCAAGUUGUUCUGGAGAAACAAACGAAGAGACGGAGACCUUUCCUUCACCUGGCGUUUGAGUCAUAUCGCAAAAAAUGGUUUCCAUCACUCCGGAUCGCUGGACGGAGUAAAAACCAGAAAUGGAGUGGCCAUUACGGCGCAGAUCUUGGCAAGAAUUUGGCAACGGUUUAGAAAUUUGUACUGGCUGACGUCCAUAGCAUUCCAAACGACUCAGACUAUGCCGGCCGGAAGAUGGUUGAGUUAAAAUCCGACCGAAAUUCAACCGCGUAACUGGAAGAGAGGAUUUGUCCGUGAUGAUACCUGAAGAAGAUAUUAAAGAUUGCCUGCAAACGGAAGAUAAUUGAAUGAGGGAGAUGAUUUGCCUCAUGGAUGCGUUGUAGUUGAUAAACCGGCUGUAGCAUCCUGCAUCCCAGCAUUGGCCAACAUCGGUGGACGACUCGCUAUCAUGCAGAAUCGACGUUGACCCUAUGUCAUGUUACACCAGACAUAAACGGGUGUAUCUCCUGUCCUAUGGCCGUCGGGAUCGAUCCAGUACAUCCCAGAUUUAAGCGCUUCAUCGGAGUGUCUCAGUUCUUCACACGAACUGGCAAUCACUGGCGUAGAAGACGUAAG
Long non-coding RNA from Daphnia carinata, 1167 nucleotides. RefSeq lists it as uncharacterized. The transcript has 5 exons. The record is from RefSeq and is a predicted model, not a curated record. Lineage: Eukaryota; Metazoa; Arthropoda; Branchiopoda; Diplostraca; Daphniidae.